GACACAGGGAGGUAGUGACAAGAAAUAACAAUACAGGGCAAUUGUCUUGUAAUUGGAAUGAUGGUGACCUAAACCCUCACCAGAGUAACAAUUGGAGGGCAAGUCUGGUGCCAGCAGCCGCGGUAAUUCCAGCUCCAAUAGCGUAUAUUAAACUUGUUGCAGUUAAAAAGCUCGUAGUUGAAUUUUUGCGUGGUGUUAAUAUUGACUGAUGUCGAGAUUGCACUUCGCUUUUGGGAUUUUUCCCUUUUUACUUUGAGAAAAUUAGAGUGUUUCAAGCAGACUUUUGUCUUGAAUACUUCAGCAUGGAAUAAUAGAGUAGGACUUUGGUUCUAUUUUGUUGGUUUGUGAACCUUAGUAAUGGUUAAUAGGAACGGUUGGGGGCAUUCGUAUUUAACUGUCAGAGGUGAAAUUCUUAG
RNAcentral lists this ribosomal RNA (416 nucleotides) under Babesia divergens. Its description in RNAcentral is "SSU rRNA". It matches the Rfam family "Eukaryotic small subunit ribosomal RNA", at positions 453 to 923 of the family's 1831-position model. The record is from RNAcentral. Lineage: Eukaryota; Apicomplexa; Aconoidasida; Piroplasmida; Babesiidae.